UCUAACAUGUAGACAUUGUGACAAAGCAUUUGCCAACGAGAGGCUGCUGAGAGACCAUGUUCGUCAGCAUGUGAAUCAUAUAAAAUGUCCUCUCUGUGACAUGACAUGCACGUCCCUUUCCACCUUGAAGAUCCAUAUCAAAUUCCGUCACUGCGAUGAGAGGCCCUUCCCGUGUGACUUCUGUGAGAGCAGCUUCAAGAACCAGCAUGAUCUGCGGAGACACAUGGAAACUCACAAUGAGGGAGCAGCAUACCACUGCACAGUAG
Sinocyclocheilus grahami is the source of this 266-nucleotide long non-coding RNA. RefSeq lists it as uncharacterized. Lineage: Eukaryota; Metazoa; Chordata; Actinopteri; Cypriniformes; Cyprinidae. The transcript has 3 exons. The record is from RefSeq and is a predicted model, not a curated record.